This 64-nucleotide transfer RNA is filed under the name Candidatus Gallipaludibacter merdavium. It matches the Rfam family "tRNA", at positions 5 to 66 of the family's 71-position model. Rfam says of the family: Transfer RNA (tRNA) molecules are approximately 80 nucleotides in length. The record is from RNAcentral. Lineage: Bacteria; Pseudomonadati; Bacteroidota; Bacteroidia; Bacteroidales.
GUCGUAGCUCAGGGGUAGAGCACUUCCUUGGUAAGGAAGAGGUCGCGGGUUCAAGUCCCAUCGA